This 497-nucleotide ribosomal RNA is filed under the name uncultured bacterium. RNAcentral's name for it is "partial 16S ribosomal RNA". It matches the Rfam family "Bacterial small subunit ribosomal RNA", at positions 28 to 507 of the family's 1533-position model. The record is from RNAcentral.
GAUGAACGCUGGCGGCGUGCCUAAUACAUGCAAGUCGAGCGAACAGACGCGGAGCUUGCUCCUCUGACGUUAGCGGCGGACGGGUGAGUAACACGUGGAUAACCUCCCUAUAAGACUGGGAUAACUUCGGGAAACCGGAGCUAAUACCGGAUAACAUGUUGAACCGCAUGGUUCAACAGUGAAAGACGGUCUUGCUGUCACUUAUCGAUGGAUCCGCGCCGCAUUAGCUAGUUGGUAAGGUAACGGCUUACCAAGGCAACGAUGCGUAGCCGACCUGAGAGGGGGGUCGGCCACACUGGAACUGAGACACGGUCCAGACUCCUACGGGAGGCAGCAGUAGGGAAUCGUCCGCAAUGGGCGAAAGCCUGACGGAGCAACGCCGCGUGAGUGAAGAAGGUCUUCGGAUCGUAAAACUCUGUUAUGAGGGAAGAACAAAUGUGUAAGUAACUAUGCACGUCUUGACGGUACCUAAUCAGAAAGCCACGGCUAACUACGUG